RNAcentral lists this ribosomal RNA (256 nucleotides) under uncultured bacterium. RNAcentral's name for it is "partial 16S ribosomal RNA". It matches the Rfam family "Bacterial small subunit ribosomal RNA", at positions 96 to 353 of the family's 1533-position model. The record is from RNAcentral.
UGGCGGACGGGUGAGUAAUGUCUGGGAAACUGCCUGAUGGAGGGGGAUAACUACUGGAAACGGUAGCUAAUACCGCAUAACGUCGCAAGACCAAAGAGGGGGACCUUCGGGCCUCUUGCCAUCGGAUGUGCCCAGAUGGGAUUAGUUAGUAGGUGGGGUAAAGGCUCACCUAGGCGACGAUCCCUAGCUGGUCUGAGAGGAUGACCAGCCACACUGGAACUGAGACACGGUCCAGACUCCUACGGGAGGCAGCAUG